AAAUUGAAGAGUUUGAUCAUGGCUCAGAUUGAACGCUGGCGGCAGGCCUAACACAUGCAAGUCGAACGGUAACAGGAAGCAGCUUGCUGCUUCGCUGACGAGUGGCGGACGGGUGAGUAAUGUCUGGGAAACUGCCUGAUGGAGGGGGAUAACUACUGGAAACGGUGGCUAAUACCGCAUAACGUCGCAAGACCAAAGAGGGGGACCUUCGGGCCUCUUGCCAUCAGAUGUGCCCAGAUGGGAUUAGCUUGUUGGUGAGGUAACGGCUCACCAAGGCGACGAUCCCUAGCUGGUCUGAGAGGAUGACCAGCCACACUGGAACUGAGACACGGUCCAGACUCCUACGGGAGGCAGCAGUGGGGAAUAUUGCACAAUGGGCGCAAGCCUGAUGCAGCCAUGCCGCGUGUAUGAAGAAGGCCUUCGGGUUGUAAAGUACUUUCAGCAGGGAGGAAGGUGUUGUGGUUAAUAACCGCAGCAAUUGACGUUACCCGCAGAAGAAGCACCGGCUAACUCCGUGCCAGCAGCCGCGGUAAUACGGAGGGUGCAAGCGUUAAUCGGAAUUACUGGGCGUAAAGCGCACGCAGGCGGUCUGUCAAGUCGGAUGUGAAAUCCCCGGGCUCAACCUGGGAACUGCAUUCGAAACUGGCAGGCUUGAGUCUUGUAGAGGGGGGUAGAAUUCCAGGUGUAGCGGUGAAAUGCGUAGAGAUCUGGAGGAAUACCGGUGGCGAAGGCGGCCCCCUGGACAAAGACUGACGCUCAGGUGCGAAAGCGUGGGGAGCAAACAGGAUUAGAUACCCUGGUAGUCCACGCCGUAAACGAUGUCUACUUGGAGGUUGUGCCCUUGAGGCGUGGCUUCCGGAGCUAACGCGUUAAGUAGACCGCCUGGGGAGUACGGCCGCAAGGUUAAAACUCAAAUGAAUUGACGGGGGCCCGCACAAGCGGUGGAGCAUGUGGUUUAAUUCGAUGCAACGCGAAGAACCUUACCUGGUCUUGACAUCCACAGAACUUUCCAGAGAUGGAUUGGUGCCUUCGGGAACUGUGAGACAGGUGCUGCAUGGCUGUCGUCAGCUCGUGUUGUGAAAUGUUGGGUUAAGUCCCGCAACGAGCGCAACCCUUAUCCUUUGUUGCCAGCGGUUAGGCCGGGAACUCAAAGGAGACUGCCAGUGAUAAACUGGAGGAAGGUGGGGAUGACGUCAAGUCAUCAUGGCCCUUACGACCAGGGCUACACACGUGCUACAAUGGCGCAUACAAAGAGAAGCGACCUCGCGAGAGCAAGCGGACCUCAUAAAGUGCGUCGUAGUCCGGAUUGGAGUCUGCAACUCGACUCCAUGAAGUCGGAAUCGCUAGUAAUCGUGGAUCAGAAUGCCACGGUGAAUACGUUCCCGGGCCUUGUACACACCGCCCGUCACACCAUGGGAGUGGGUUGCAAAAGAAGUAGGUAGCUUAACCUUCGGGAGGGCGCUUACCACUUUGUGAUUCAUGACUGGGGUGAAGUCGUAACAAGGUAACCGUAGGGGAACCUGCGGUUGGAUCACCUCCUUA
RNAcentral lists this ribosomal RNA (1542 nucleotides) under Salmonella enterica subsp. enterica. RNAcentral's name for it is "bacterial SSU rRNA". It matches the Rfam family "Bacterial small subunit ribosomal RNA". Lineage: Bacteria; Pseudomonadati; Pseudomonadota; Gammaproteobacteria; Enterobacterales; Enterobacteriaceae. The record is from RNAcentral. RNAcentral also lists the same sequence under 1 other name.